This 219-nucleotide ribosomal RNA is filed under the name uncultured bacterium. RNAcentral's name for it is "partial 16S ribosomal RNA". It matches the Rfam family "Bacterial small subunit ribosomal RNA", at positions 118 to 351 of the family's 1533-position model. The record is from RNAcentral.
UGGGAACCUUCCCUAUGGUUCGGAAUAGCUCAGGGAAACUUGGGGUAAUACCGGAUAAGCCCUUCGGGGGAAAGAUUUAUCGCCAUUGGACGGGCCCGCGUCGGAUUAGCUAGUUGUUGAGGUAACGGCUCACCAAGGCAAACGAUCCGUAGCUGGUCUGAGAGGAUGAUCAGCCACACUGGGACUGAGACACGGCCCAGACCUCCGUACGGGAGGCAG